This 468-nucleotide ribosomal RNA is filed under the name uncultured bacterium. RNAcentral's name for it is "partial 16S ribosomal RNA". It matches the Rfam family "Bacterial small subunit ribosomal RNA", at positions 28 to 507 of the family's 1533-position model. The record is from RNAcentral.
GACGAACGCUGGCGGCGUGCUUAACACAUGCAAGUCGAACGGAAAGGCCCUGCUUUUGUGGGGUGCUCGAGUGGCGAACGGGUGAGUAACACGUGAGUAACCUGCCCUUGACUUUGGGAUAACUUCAGGAAACUGGGGCUAAUACCGGAUAGGAGCUCCUGCUGCAUGGUGUGGGUUGGAAAGUUUCGGCGGUUGGGGAUGGACUCGCGGCUUAUCAGCUUGUUGGUGGGGUAGUGGCUUACCAAGGCUUUGACGGGUAGCCGGCCUGAGAGGGUGACCGGCCACAUUGGGACUGAGAUACGGACCAGACUCCUACGGGAGGCAGCAGGGGGGAAUAUUGCACAAUGGGCGGAAGCCUGAUGCAGCAACGCCGCGUGCGGGAUGACGGCCUUCGGGUUGUAAACCGCUUUCGCCUGUGACGAAGCGUGAGUGACGGUAAUGGGUAAAGAAGCACCGGCUAACUACGUG